AUACCGGCCAGAGACCGAUAGCGCACAAGUAGAGUGAUCGAAAGAUGAAAAGCACUUUGAAAAGAGGGUUAAAAAGUACGUGAAAUUGUUGAAAGGGAAGCGCCUAUGACCAGACUUGGGCCCGGUGAAUCAUCCAGCGUUCUCGCUGGUGCACUUUGCCGGGCACAGGCCAGCAUCAGUUUGGCGCGGGGGAAAAAGGCUUUGGGAAUGUGGCUCCCUCGGGAGUGUUAUAGCCCAUUGUGUAAUACCCUGCGCCGGACUGAGGUACGCGCAUUGCAAGGAUGCUGGCGUAAUGGUCAUCAGCGACCCGUCUUGAAACACGGACC
Molecule: ribosomal RNA, 326 nt
Filed under: uncultured fungus
Lineage: Eukaryota; Fungi
Description: LSU rRNA
Rfam family: Eukaryotic large subunit ribosomal RNA
Source: RNAcentral